UUUUAUUGCCAUAGCACCCCAAUUGCACUCGAUCUUGCCUGCUUUCAGAAGCUGAGCAGGGUCAGGCCUGGUGAGUGUCUGGAUGGGAAACCACCAGGAAUCUCCAGGAAAGGCUAGGGA
Molecule: ribosomal RNA, 120 nt
Filed under: Pogona vitticeps (central bearded dragon)
Lineage: Eukaryota; Metazoa; Chordata; Lepidosauria; Squamata; Agamidae
Source: RNAcentral